Molecule: non-coding RNA, 1013 nt
Organism: Meleagris gallopavo (turkey)
Lineage: Eukaryota; Metazoa; Chordata; Aves; Galliformes; Phasianidae
Source: RefSeq, a predicted model, not a curated record
CAGCCCUCCCUGAGCUCAUUUAAGGGCUAGCCUCCAAAGUAACAGCGUCUUGAGGAUGAAGGCUGCUUCUUGAGAAAGAGCGUUAUAUGCCUGAAUUCCUGUCGCCAGAUUGUCCUGACUGUCCCUGCCACCUGCCUGGAGAUCGCACUCCUUCUCUGUGGCCCAGGAUGCCAUUUCUGCCCCUAGGACCAUCAAUACCCUGCCACAGCUGAAGCUGAGCAAGGUUUAAGACAAAGUAUAAAGGGAUUGAUUGAGAACCUGGAGAAUGUGCAAGAGGGAGGACAAUAUCAGCAUGGCAAAGGAUGGAGAUUUGGCCUUUGAACUGAAGGGGCAGAAAAUAUAUAAAAUACUAGCAGAAAACUGCUUCUGGUUAAGUAUAUGAACUACCCACACAAGAAAUCCAAAGAUCCGUUUUAUCUCAGGCCAUGUUGACUAGCAAAUGAUUAUGCAACUAUGAUUGUCUGAGAGAGGUCUAUACAUGGAGCAGCAAUGUUGUCUUGAAGAGAGUACUGUUCAUCUCAUCUUCUAUUAUCGUGACAAAAUGGAAUAUUAUUUCCCUUGCAUUUGUGAUGUCUUUGUUCAACGCAGUUUUGUCUCUACUGUUUAUCUGAAGCUUCACCUAAAAUUAGAUUUGGUAUGUAGUGCAGCAGUUAGGCUCUGUAUCAGUAUAAUGCACUGGUCUGUGGUUUCUUUUGUGCGAUGUUUCUGGGAACUUAGGGGGGAAAAAAUCUUGUUCUGAAUUGAGUAUGUUUAUAUGUGGAGAUUACAUAUUUAUAAUUAUUUAUUUGACUCUGCAUCAUUAAUGGCAGAAACUUAAAGAGUGAGUACUAUUGGAAUGACUUCUAUUAUCCAUAAGUAGGAUACACAUCUUUUCUUUGAUGCUCUUGAUUUUUUGGGGAUAUUCCUUUCAGUCUGCCAAACUCCUAGCGCUGUGAUUGUGCCUGCUGUCAUUUGUUUCUUCAAUAAAAACAUCAAAAUUCAGAGAAGGAUUCUCUGAUGUCUUCAGUAUCGCU